GCGCCCGUAGCUCAGUUGGAUAGAGUACUUGGCUACGAACCAAGGGGUCGGGAGUUCGAAUCUCUCCGGGCGCGCCA
RNAcentral lists this transfer RNA (77 nucleotides) under Betaproteobacteria bacterium. RNAcentral's name for it is "tRNA-Arg". It matches the Rfam family "tRNA". From Rfam's summary of the family: Transfer RNA (tRNA) molecules are approximately 80 nucleotides in length. The record is from RNAcentral. RNAcentral also lists the same sequence under 9 other names. Lineage: Bacteria; Pseudomonadati; Pseudomonadota; Betaproteobacteria.